This 477-nucleotide long non-coding RNA is filed under the name Equus caballus (horse). RNAcentral describes it as "lncRNA (ENSECAG00000044261.1)". Lineage: Eukaryota; Metazoa; Chordata; Mammalia; Perissodactyla; Equidae. The record is from RNAcentral.
GCCAUCCAAUCCACGUUGAGAGUCAGGGAGGAUGUUGCAACUCGAGAUGCUCUUAGAAGAGCCCUCCCCCGGACCAGCGGUUGACUCAUCGAUGGCAAAGCCGGCCAACCCGGCUGGCACCGCAGUUCCACCCCGGCUCUGUGGUUACCCGUGGUGGGAUGGCCGCACGGUCUGAAACAACACAUCACGGCCGUGCCUCUGCCCGCCCCAGCUGCUGCUCGUCAGCCCUGCGCGGGGGACCCUCUCGGGCAGUGUCUGCGGCAAGUUCAAGUGCCUCCUUGAGGAUGCAUCUUAGAGAAGUGACAUUCUUUCCCUGUCCUCCGUGGAUUCCUUCCCCAGCUCUACCGUCCUGUGGACGUCUUCACCCCAGACCCCAGCUGGCUCAGAGACAUUGCUAGUCGAUCACGGAAUUAUUUACACCGAGCGGGACGUGGCCUUAAAAUGGGGCGACCAUAUCGUUUACUGUGCAAACUGAGG